AAAUCAUCUUCAUUCUCUCCCAAUCAUCACAAUCGCAAUUCUACGGUGUAAAGCUUUCUACUACUAAUUCUUGUUCUAUCACUACUUGUUUUAUUUCA
Long non-coding RNA from Telopea speciosissima, 98 nucleotides. RefSeq lists it as uncharacterized. The transcript is spliced from 3 exons. NCBI's taxonomy places the organism in Eukaryota, Viridiplantae, Streptophyta, Magnoliopsida, Proteales, Proteaceae. The record is from RefSeq and is a predicted model, not a curated record.